This 631-nucleotide ribosomal RNA is filed under the name Verrucosispora sp. YIM 75366. RNAcentral describes it as "bacterial SSU rRNA". It matches the Rfam family "Bacterial small subunit ribosomal RNA", at positions 65 to 715 of the family's 1533-position model. Lineage: Bacteria; Bacillati; Actinomycetota; Actinomycetes; Micromonosporales; Micromonosporaceae. The record is from RNAcentral.
AGCGGAAGGCCCUUCGGGGUACUCGAGCGGCGAACGGGUGAGUAACACGUGAGUAACCUGCCCCAGACUUUGGGAUAACCCUCGGAAACGGGGGCUAAUACCGGAUAUGACUGCUGAUCGCAUGGUUGGUGGUGGAAAGUUUUUCGGUUUGGGAUGGACUCGCGGCCUAUCAGCUUGUUGGUGGGGUAAUGGCCUACCAAGGCGACGACGGGUAGCCGGCCUGAGAGGGCGACCGGCCACACUGGGACUGAGACACGGCCCAGACUCCUACGGGAGGCAGCAGUGGGGAAUAUUGCACAAUGGGCGGAAGCCUGAUGCAGCGACGCCGCGUGAGGGAUGACGGCCUUCGGGUUGUAAACCUCUUUCAGCAGGGACGAAGCGCAAGUGACGGUACCUGCAGAAGAAGCGCCGGCCAACUACGUGCCAGCAGCCGCGGUAAGACGUAGGGCGCGAGCGUUGUCCGGAUUUAUUGGGCGUAAAGAGCUCGUAGGCGGCUUGUCGCGUCGAAUGUGAAAACUUGGGGCUCAACUCCAAGCUUGCAUUCGAUACGGGCAGGCUAGAGUUCGGUAGGGGAGACUGGAAUUCCUGGUGUAGCGGUGAAAUGCGCAGAUAUCAGGAGGAACACCGGUGG